UACGUAGGGUGCGAGCGUUGUCCGGAAUUAUUGGGCGUAAAGAGCUCGUAGGCGGUUUGUCGCGUCUGCUGUGAAAUCCCGAGGCUCAACCUCGGGCCUGCAGUGGGUACGGGCAGACUGGAGUGCGGUAGGGGAGAAUGGAACUCCUGGUGUAGCGGUGGAAUGCGCAGAUAUCAGGAGGAACACCGGUGGCGAAGGCGGGUCUCUGGGCAGUAACUGACGCUGAGGAACGAAAGCGUGGGGAGCGAACAGG
This 253-nucleotide ribosomal RNA is filed under the name uncultured bacterium. Its description in RNAcentral is "partial 16S ribosomal RNA". It matches the Rfam family "Bacterial small subunit ribosomal RNA", at positions 524 to 776 of the family's 1533-position model. The record is from RNAcentral.